Molecule: regulatory RNA element, 28 nt
Organism: Salegentibacter echinorum
Lineage: Bacteria; Pseudomonadati; Bacteroidota; Flavobacteriia; Flavobacteriales; Flavobacteriaceae
Rfam family: L19-Flavobacteria ribosomal protein leader
Source: Rfam
UAACCUCUGGCGAUACCCGUGAAUGUUG